RNAcentral lists this ribosomal RNA (2836 nucleotides) under delta proteobacterium JGI 0002000-E07. RNAcentral's name for it is "bacterial LSU rRNA". It matches the Rfam family "Bacterial large subunit ribosomal RNA". The record is from RNAcentral. Lineage: Bacteria; Deltaproteobacteria.
AGGGUUGACGGUGAAUGCCUUGGCACAGAGAGGCGAUGAAGGACGUGGCAAGCAGCGAUAUGCUUCGGGGAGCGGCAAGCACGCUUUGAUCCGGAGAUUUCCGAAUGGGGCAACCCCAUCAGGGUCAUGCCUGAUGAUCACCAGCUGAAUACAUAGGCUGGAUGAGGCGAACCGAGGGAAGUGAACCAUCUCAGUACCUCGAGGAAGAGAAAACUAAUCAGUGAUUCCGUCAGUAGCGGCGAGCGAACGCGGAACAGCCCAAACCGGAGUGGCUUCGGCUACACCGGGGUUGUGGGGUCUGGCCACAUGGAGUUACAAAGCAGCAGCCUAGUCGAAGAGUCUGGAACGGCUCACCAAAGAAGGUGACAGUCCUGUAGGCGAAAGGUUAGCUGCCUCCGGCCGGAUACCCGAGUACCACGGGGCACGAGAAACCCUGUGGGAAUCUGGGGGGACCAUCCUCCAAGGCUAAAUACUCGUAAUCGACCGAUAGUGAACUAGUACCGUGAGGGAAAGGUGAAAAGAACCCCUGUUAGGGGAGUGAAAUAGUACCUGAAACCGUCAAUCUACAAGCAGUGGAACCACUAUGCCGGCGCAAGCCGGAACGUGGAACCGCGUGCCUUUUGCAUAAUGAGCCGGCUAGUUACUCUCAGGGGCAAGGUGAAGCAUUUUGCAUAGCCGUAGCGAAAGCGAGUCUGAAUAGGGCGCCAUAGUCGCUGGGAGUACACGCGAAGCGGGAUGAUCUACGCAUGGGCAGGAUGAAACCUGGGUAACACCAGGUGAAGGUCCGAACCAGUGUUGGUUGAAAACAACUUGGAUGACCUGUGUGUAGGGGUGAAAGGCCAAUCAAAUUCCGUUAUAGCUCGUUCUCUCCGAAAUAUCUUUAGGGAUAGCCUCGUAUCGACCAUAGCGGUGGUAGAGCGCUGGAUGGACUAGGGGCCUUACCGGGUUACUGAAUCCAACCAAACUUCGAAUGCCGCUAAUGCAAUGUACGGGAGUCAGACGGCGGGGGAUAAGCUUCGUCGUCGAGAGGGGAACAACCCAGACCGCCAGCUAAGGUCCCCAAAUUCACGCUAAGUGGAAAAGGAUGUGGAGACGCUUAGACAGCCAGGAGGUUGGCUUAGAAGCAGCCAUCCUUUAAAGAAAGCGUAAUAGCUCACUGGUCAAGUGGCUCCGCGCCGACAAUGUAACGGGGCUUAAGCGUGGUACCGAAGCUGCGGAUCUACGGGAUCUUCGGAUUCUGUAGGUGGUAGGAGAGCAUUCUCAACCGGAGUGAAGCCAGAUCGAAAGAACUGGUGGACCGUUGAGAAGAGACUCUGCCGGCACAAGUAGCGAUAAAGUGUGUGAGAAUCACACUCGCCGUAAGUCUAAGGUUUCCUGAGGAAGGUUCGUCCUCUCAGGGUUAGUCGGUCCCUAAGGCGAGGCCGAAAGGCGUAGUCGAUGGGAAACAGGUCAACAUUCCUGUACCGGACCGUGUUGCGAUGGGGUGACGCAGGAGGAUAGCUGGGCCCACGAUCGGAAGUGUGGGUUCAAGCGUGUAGCGUGCCUGGAUAGGUAAAUCCGUUCGGGUAUACGUGAGACGUGACGUCGAGAGCUCCUAGCUCGCAAAGUCAGUGAGUCCAAGCUGCCAAGAAAAACCUCUAAGCUUCAGACACGGGACGACCGUACCGCAAACCGACACAGGUAGACGGGAAGAGCAUUCCAAGGCGCGUGAGUGAUCCCUCGUGAAGGAACUCGGCAAAUUAGCACCGUAACUUCGGAAGAAGGUGUGCUUGCUGUCGUUAGUUUCCUCGCGAAACAAAGCGACGGUGAGUCGCAGUGAAAUGCCCCAAGCGACUGUUUACUAAAAACACAGGGCUCUGCAAAGUCGAAAACGACGUAUAGGGUCUGACGCCUGCCCGGUGCCGGAAGAUUAAAUGAUGGGGUGCAAGCUCUUGAUUGAAGUCCCGGUAAACGGCGGCCGUAACUAUAACGGUCCUAAGGUAGCGAAAUUCCUUGUCGGGUAAGUUCCGACCUGCACGAAUGGCGUAACGAUUUGGGGACUGUCUCCACGAGGGGCUCAGCGAAUCUGUAGCGCUGGUGAAGAUGCCAGCUACCCGCAACUAGACGGAAAGACCCUGUGCACCUUUACUGCACCCUGGCAGUGAACUCUGGUGUUGUAUGUGUAGGAUAGGUGGGAGCCUUUGAAGCCGGGCCGCUAGGUUCGGUGGAGGCAACGGUGAAAUACCACCCUUACAACACCGGUGUUCUAACCGAGAUCCGUCAUCCGGAUCCGGGACAUUGCCAGGCGGGCAGUUUGACUGGGGCGGUCGCCUCCCAAAGUGUAACGGAGGCUCGCGAAGGUUCUCUUAGGCUGUUUGGAAAUCAGCCGGCAAGUGUAAAGGCAGAAGAGAGCUUGACUGUAAGACUUACAAGUCGAACAGAUGGGAAACCAGGCCUUAGUGAUCCGGUGGUUCUGUAUGGAAGGGCCAUCGCUCAACGGAUAAAAGGUACUCUGGGGAUAACAGGCUGAUACCGCCCAAGAGUUCAUAUCGACGGCGGUGUUUGGCACCUCGAUGUCGGCUCAUCGCAUCCUGGGGCUGGAGCAGGUCCCAAGGGUUCGGCUGUUCGCCGAUUAAAGCGGUACGUGAGCUGGGUUUAGAACGUCGCGAGACAGUUCGGUCCCUAUCUGUUGUGGGCGGAGGAGAAUUGAGUGGAGGUUUCCUUAGUACGAGAGGACCGGGAAGCACUGACCUCUAGUGUACGAGUUGUCCUGCCAAGGGCACCGCUCGGUAGCUAUGUCGGGAAGGGAUAAUCGCUGAAAGCAUAUAAGCGAGAAGCCAACCACAAGAUGAGUUCU